GUCAUAGAAAAAGCAGGUGUUCAGAUUGGCUACCGAAGUACAUUAUUUCUAGCAAAUCAUAUUCAUAUAUUUUCCCUCCUGCAGUGGAUCCUUCUGGUCUGGAGCCUCAACUGUCUAUGGACAGACCCCAGCCAAUCUAAGUAGUAUUUCGUAUCAUUUAGCUAGAUAGUUCCCAAUGAAAUUAAAAUGUGUUCAUGAACAUUAACCCCUUAAUUAUUCUUCAUCUUGUGUGGAAUUGUUUCACUGACUCUCUGUCUCUGCAUUACCCACAGGGUAACUGUCAACUUGUGAGUCUGCAAUGGGCACUGGAGGGUAACUGUCAACUUGUGAAAAAGGACACUGGAGAUGAAGGAAUCUGCAUUAUGCGACCUUCCAGUGACUCCCAUGCGACAACUAAAUAAUGGACCAAGUUAUUUGAGCAAAAAAUAAAGAUUGAAAG
Molecule: long non-coding RNA, 439 nt
Organism: Coregonus clupeaformis (lake whitefish)
Lineage: Eukaryota; Metazoa; Chordata; Actinopteri; Salmoniformes; Salmonidae
Exons: 3
Source: RefSeq, a predicted model, not a curated record